UAGUACAGAAAGAGAAAAGGAUUUCGGCUA
This 30-nucleotide non-coding RNA is filed under the name Mus musculus (house mouse). The record is from RNAcentral. Lineage: Eukaryota; Metazoa; Chordata; Mammalia; Rodentia; Muridae.